UCYGUUUGAUCCCGCCAGAAGCUACUGCUAUUGGGAUUCGAUUAAGCCAUGCAAGUCGAACGAAUUUAGAUUCGUGGCGUACGGCUCAGUAACACGUGGAUAACCUACCCUUAGGACYGGGAUAACCCUGGGAAACUGGGGCUAAUACUGGAUAGAUGAUUUUUCCUGGAAUGGUUUUUUGUUUAAAUGUUUUUUCGCCUAAGGAUGGGUCUGCGGCAGAUUAGGUAGUUGGUUAGGUAAUGGCUUACCAAGCCUAUGAUCGUAC
RNAcentral lists this ribosomal RNA (265 nucleotides) under uncultured methanogenic archaeon. RNAcentral describes it as "partial 16S ribosomal RNA". It matches the Rfam family "Archaeal small subunit ribosomal RNA", at positions 1 to 270 of the family's 1478-position model. The record is from RNAcentral. Lineage: Archaea; Methanobacteriati; Methanobacteriota.